UACGUAGGUCGCAAGCGUUGUCCGGAUUUACUGGGCGUAAAGAGCGCGCAGGCGGCUGGUCAAGUCCGAUGUGAAAUCUCCCGGCUCAACUGGGAAACUGCAUCGGAAACUGAUCGGCUUGAAGAUGGGAGAGGGUAGUGGAAUUCCCGGUGUAGUGGUGAAAUGCGUAGAUAUCGGGAGGAACACCAGUGGCGAAGGCGACUACCUGGCCCAUUCUUGACGCUGAGACGCGAAAGCGUGGGGAGCGAACAGG
This 253-nucleotide ribosomal RNA is filed under the name uncultured bacterium. RNAcentral's name for it is "partial 16S ribosomal RNA". It matches the Rfam family "Bacterial small subunit ribosomal RNA", at positions 524 to 776 of the family's 1533-position model. The record is from RNAcentral.